Molecule: ribosomal RNA, 618 nt
Filed under: uncultured bacterium
Lineage: Bacteria
Description: bacterial SSU rRNA
Rfam family: Bacterial small subunit ribosomal RNA
Source: RNAcentral
CCUAUUAGUGGGGGACAACGUUCCGAAAGGAACGCUAAUACCGCAUACGUCCUACGGGGGAAAGCAGGGGAUCUUCGGACCUUGCGCUAAUAGAUGAGCCUAAGUCGGAUUAGCUAGUUGGUGGGGUAAAGGCCUACCAAGGCGACGAUCUGUAGCGGGCCUGAGAGGAUGAUCCGCCACACUGGGACUGAGACACGGCCCAGACUCCUACGGGAGGCAGCAGUGGGGAAUAUUGGACAAUGGGCGCAAGCCUGAUCCAGCCAUGCCGCGUGUGUGAAGAAGGCCUUUUGGUUGUAAAGCACUUUAAGCGAGGAGGAGGCUCCUUUAGUUAAUACCUAAAGUGAGUGGACGUUACUCGCAGAAUAAGCACCGGCUAACUCUGUGCCAGCAGCCGCGGUAAUACAGAGGGUGCGAGCGUUAAUCGGAUUUACUGGGCGUAAAGCGUGCGUAGGCGGCUUUUUAAGUCGGAUGUGAAAUCCCUGAGCUUAACUUAGGAAUUGCAUUCGAUACUGGAAAGCUAGAGUAUGGGAGAGGAUGGUAGAAUUCCAGGUGUAGCGGUGAAAUGCGUAGAGAUCUGGAGGAAUACCGAUGGCGAAGGCAGCCAUCUGGCCUAAUACU